This 3676-nucleotide ribosomal RNA is filed under the name Triticum aestivum (bread wheat). Its description in RNAcentral is "partial small subunit ribosomal RNA". The record is from RNAcentral. Lineage: Eukaryota; Viridiplantae; Streptophyta; Magnoliopsida; Poales; Poaceae.
GAUUUGUGCCCGAAAGUGGAGCAAGUAGCCGGCCAGUGACGUGCACCACUGAUCCAACACCAUCUGGCCGGCAUCGAUCCAUCUCUUCUGCAGCCGGGACGGCCAUCACCAGUCCUGGGCGGCCAGGAUCGGCCCACGUGCACGGUAGAGCCCAGCCAGCCAGCCAAUCAGGCGGGGCCACCCCCCAUUGGCCGGCCCGCGCGCAUCCGGGCCCGCACGCUCGGCCUGCCACACUCUUCAACAACCAACCAGACCACCCACUCCUCUCGCCCCCAUCACGCCUCCGCUCCAUCCAUUCCAUCCUCUCCGCCUCCGGUCAGCUCGCCAGAUCCUACCUCCACGCGCUAGGGUUCGCCCGCCCGUCGUCGCCACUCGCCAGCCAGCCAUGGCGUCCGGGAAGCACUUCAAGUACGUCGUCCUCGGCGGCGGGGUCUCCGGGGGGUACGCGGCGCGGGAGUUCGCCAAGCAGGGCGUGCAGCCGGGGGAGCUCGCCAUCAUCUCCAAGGAGGCCGUGGCUCCUUACGAGCGCCCUGCCCUCAGCAAGGCAUACCUGUUCCCCCAGAAUCCUGCAAGAUUGCCAGGAUUCCAUGUGUGCGUGGGAAGUGGAGGCGAGAGGCUCCUGCCUGAAUGGUACUCAGAGAAAGGCAUCGAGCUUAUCCUGAGCACUGAAAUUGUCAAAGCUGAUCUUGCUUCCAAGACUCUGACUAGUGAAGCUGGAGCAACCUUUACAUAUGAGAUCUUGCUAAUUGCUACUGGCUCCUCAGUCAUUAAGCUCUCUGAUUUUGGCACUCAAGGAGCUGAUUCUAACAACAUUCUGUACCUAAGGGAAGUUGACGAUGCGGACCAGCUGUAUGCAGCUAUCCAAGCAAAGAAGGGUGGGAAGGCAGUGGUUGUUGGAGGAGGUUACAUUGGCCUUGAACUAAGCGCAGUAUUGAAGAUGAACGAUCUUGAUGUGACUAUGGUGUUCCCUGAACCUUGGUGCAUGCCUCGUCUCUUCACUGCCGAGAUUGCGGCUUUCUACGAGAGUUACUAUACUAACAAAGGAGUCAAGAUCUUGAAGGGUACAAUUGCUGUUGGUUUUGAUGCUGACGCCAAUGGUGAUGUGACCGCAGUUAAGCUAAAGGACGGCAGUGUGCUCGACGCUGAUAUUGUUGUCGUCGGUGUUGGGGGCAGACCGUUGACUAAUCUCUUCAAAGGCCAAGUUGCCGAGGAGAAAGGUGGAAUCAAGACCGAUGCUUUUUUCGAAACAAGUGUCCCUGGAGUGUAUGCCGUUGGCGACGUGGCGACCUUCCCGAUGAAGAUCUACAACGACGAGAGGAGAGUGGAGCACGUUGACCAUUCCAGGAAGUCCGCGGAGCAGGCCGUGAAGGCGAUCAAGGGGAAAGAGGCGGGCUCUGCCGUGGAGGAGUACGACUACCUGCCCUACUUCUACUCGCGGUCGUUCGACCUGUCGUGGCAGUUCUACGGGGACAACGUCGGCGACGCCAUCCUGUUCGGCGACGCCGACCCCAGCUCCACCAAGCCCAAGUUCGGGUCGUACUGGGUCAAGGACGGCAAGUGUGUGGGCGCGUUCCUGGAGGGCGGGUCGCCGGACGAGAACGCCGCCAUCGCCAAGCUCGCGAGGGCCCAGCCGCCCGCCGCCAGCCCCGACGAGCUCAAGGCCGCCGGCCUCCAGUUCGCCAGCAAGAUCUGAUGUGGCCGUGCCGCUGAAGUGUCACGUUGGGCAUUAGAUUUGCAAAUACAUACAUACAUACAUAAACACAUAGCUCACUGCACAGUACAAUUUGGUCGAUGCUAUUGUGAUGUCUGUAUGCCACAUACUCUCUCAGUUUCUCCGCGCCUUUGAGGUUUCAAUAAAGCCCGCACCCCUACGGUCAGUUCAAUACACAUUUGUUGGCAUAAGCUUUUGUGAGGAUGCUUUUGUGUGGCCGCUCUGGUGCCGGCGCCGUGAUGGCCACCACAGCCGUGAUCGCCGGUCUUCCUCGACUUGCGCCUGCGAGGGGGAGGAGACGGAGGUGCACCGUGGCGGCGGCGAUGGGCGCGUCGGGGCUGGAGGAGGGGAAGGGGAAGACGGCGACGGUGAGGAGCAAGGCGUCCGGGGACGCGCUGGAGGUGUGCCGGGUGGUGAACGGGAUGUGGCAGGUGAGCGGCGCGUCGUGGGGCCGCGCGGCGCCGGCGGCCGCCGUGGACGCCAUGCUCGCCUACGCCGACGGCGGGCUCGCCACCUUCGACAUGGCCGACAUCUAUGGACCGGCGGAGGAUUUAUACGGCAUGUUCAUCAACAAAGUUCGGCGCGAGCGCCCGCCGGAGAUGCUAGAAGAAGUCAGGGGGCUUACAAAGUGGGUGCCGCCACCUGUUAAGAUGACAAGAAGCUUUGUUGAGGAGAACAUCAACAGGUCCCGGAAGAGGAUGGAUGUCGCUGCCUUGGACAUGCUGCAGUUCCAUUGGUGGGACUACGCAAAUCCCGGAUAUCUAGAUGCACUAAAGCACAUCACCGACCUCAAGGAGGAAGGCAAGAUAAAGACUGUAGCUCUGACGAACUUCGAUACAGAGAGGCUGCAAAUAAUCCUAGAAAAUGGAAUACCAAUUGUCAGCAACCAGGUUCAACAUUCUAUUGUGGAUAUGCGCCCGCAGAAAAAGAUGGCAGAGCUUUGUGAGCUUACCGGAGUCAAGCUUAUCACGUAUGGCACGGUGAUGGGUGGCCUAUUGUCCGAGAAGUUCCUCGACACCAACAUCAACAUACCUUUUGCUGGACCUCCUCUGAAUACCCCAUCCCUGCAGAAGUAUAAGAGGAUGAUCGACGCUUGGGGUGGCUGGAGCCUGUUCCAGGCUCUGCUCCAGACCUUGAAGAAGGUGUCACUGAAACACGGCAUCCCGAUCUCAACUGUCGCUGUACGAUACAUACUGAACCAGACAUCGGUGGCUGGUUCAAUGGUGGGCGUGAGGCUGGGUCUGUCGGAGCACAUCAGGGACACCAACGCCAUCCUGUCGCUGCUGCUGGACGAGGAGGACAUGGGCAGCAUCACCGAGGCGUCGCAGCGGGGCAGGAACCUGAUGGAGGUCAUCGGAGACUGCGGCGACGAGUACAGAGCCUAGUGACUUUCACAUGGCCGGGGAUCGAGUCUCGAUCCUCGAUCCCCCCAGCAUGUGCUCCCACAACGAUACAUAACAUACCACCUUAACAAAUGAGAGUGACAAUCAUGGAGAGGAAAAACUUUCAGUGGCAUGGAGACAGAUAGACAGAGAGACAAGGAGGAUCAUGUGCUCCACCGAAAGCAGCGGCGAAUGUGGUGGUGGAUAGAUCUCCCUGGCCAACAGGGAGCAUAUCCCGGCCUUGGAGACCGAUCUGAUCAUGGCAUAAUAUUGUAUUUCAAUUCUAGUAGUAUAAAAUUGUUGGAAUCAUGGUGUUGGUGGUGAUGCUUGCCGUGCAAAUUGUUAUUAGUUGCUCCUCUGUUUGGGAAUAUACGAGGAUCUGCGCAAUGAGAUAUGGUCGACAAUACUGCGAAAUUUGACCAUUGUUCUUCGUUAAAAAUGUGUAUGUACAGAAAUAUUAAAGCAAACAAUGGUGUUUUCAUGGUACCUGUCAUUAAUGAAAAAAAGAAGAAGCUAUUUUUAUUGAUAUGUUUUGCGAGUGGUGAAUAUGUUUUGUUUAUAUCAAUGAUAAAUUUUAUUUGAG